Triticum urartu is the source of this 128-nucleotide non-coding RNA. The record is from Rfam. NCBI's taxonomy places the organism in Eukaryota, Viridiplantae, Streptophyta, Magnoliopsida, Poales, Poaceae.
CAAGUACUCCCUCCGUCCGGAAUUACUUGUCAUCAAAAUGGAUGUGUCUAGAACUAAAAUACAUCUAGAUACAUCCAUUUCAAUGACAAGUAUGAAGUAAAAGUAUUUUCGGACGGAGGGAGUACAAG